UUUAAUAUGGCAGAUUAGUGCAAUAAAUUUAAAAUUUAUAUAUAUAAUUUAUAAUUAUUAUUAAAA
This 66-nucleotide transfer RNA is filed under the name Encyrtus aurantii. Its description in RNAcentral is "tRNA-Leu". Lineage: Eukaryota; Metazoa; Arthropoda; Insecta; Hymenoptera; Encyrtidae. The record is from RNAcentral.